GCUUAGAGUUUGAUCCUGGCUCAGGAUGAACGCUGGCGGCGUGCCUAAUACAUGCAAGUCGAACGGGAACCACUGUUUUCGGAUGGUGGGGAGAGUGGCGCACGGGUGAGUAACACGUAGCUGACCUGCCCUUUGCCGGGGGAUAACUCAGCGAAAGCUGAGCUAAUACCGCGUAAUCUCGACGGGGUUAGAGGCCUGUUGAGGAAAGCACUGGCAGCGGCGAAGGAGGGGGCUGCGGUCCAUCAGCUAGCUGGUCGGGUAACGGCCUACCAGGGCGACGACGGAUAGGGGGCCUGAGAGGGUGACCCCCCACACUGGAACUGAUACACGGUCCAGACUCCUGCGGGAGGCAGCAGUAAGGAAUAUUGCACAAUGGGCGCCAGCCUGAUGCAGCAACGCCGCGUGAAGGAAGAAGGUCUUCGGAUCGUAAACUUCUUUUCUGCGUGAAGAGGAAGGACGGUAGCGCAGGAAUAAGUCUCGGCUAACUACGUGCCAGCAGCCGCGGUAAAACGUAAGAGGCGAGCGUUAUCCGGAAUUACUGGGCGUAAAGCGUGCGCAGGCGGUUGUGUAAGUGGUGCGUGAAAGCUCCCGGCUCAACCGGGAGAGGUCGUACCGAACUGCACAACUGGAGACAGCGAGAGGCAGAUGGAAUUCCAGGUGGAGUGGUGAAAUGCGUAUAGAUCCGGAGGAACACCAGUGGCGAAUGCGAUCUGCUGGCGCUGAUCUGACGCU
This 732-nucleotide ribosomal RNA is filed under the name uncultured bacterium. Its description in RNAcentral is "bacterial SSU rRNA". It matches the Rfam family "Bacterial small subunit ribosomal RNA", at positions 1 to 747 of the family's 1533-position model. The record is from RNAcentral.